AGAGGUUGAUCAUGGCUCAGAUUGAACGCUGGCGGCAGGCCUAACACAUGCAAGUCGAACGGUAACAGGAAGAAGCUUGCUUCUUUGCUGACGAGUGGCGGACGGGUGAGUAAUGUCUGGGAAACUGCCUGAUGGAGGGGGAUAACUACUGGAAACGGUAGCUAAUACCGCAUAACGUCGCAAGACCAAAGAGGGGGACCUUCGGGCCUCUUGCCAUCGGAUGUGCCCAGAUGGGAUUAGCUAGUAGGUGGGGUAACGGCUCACCUAGGCGACGAUCCCUAGCUGGUCUGAGAGGAUGACCAGCCACACUGGAACUGAGACACGGUCCAGACUCCUACGGGAGGCAGCAGUGGGGAAUAUUGCACAAUGGGCGCAAGCCUGAUGCAGCCAUGCCGCGUGUAUGAAGAAGGCCUUCGGGUUGUAAAGUACUUUCAGCGGGGAGGAAGGGAGUAAAGUUAAUACCUUUGCUCAUUGACGUUACCCGCAGAAGAAGCACCGGCUAACUCCGUGCCAGCAGCCGCGGUAAUACGGAGGGUGCAAGCGUUAAUCGGAAUUACUGGGCGUAAAGCGCACGCAGGCGGUUUGUUAAGUCAGAUGUGAAAUCCCCGGGCUCAACCUGGGAACUGCAUCUGAUACUGGCAAGCUUGAGUCUCGUAGAGGGGGGUAGAAUUCCAGGUGUAGCGGUGAAAUGCGUAGAGAUCUGGAGGAAUACCGGUGGCGAAGGCGGCCCCCUGGACGAAGACUGACGCUCAGGUGCGAAAGCGUGGGGAGCAAACGGGAUUAGAUACCCUGGUAGUCCACGCCGUAAACGAUGUCGACUUGGAGGUUGUGCCCUUGAGGCGUGGCUUCCGGAGCUAACGCGUUAAGUCGACCGCCUGGGGAGUACGGCCGCAAGGUUAAAACUCAAAUGAAUUGACGGGGGCCCGCACAAGCGGUGGAGCAUGUGGUUUAAUUCGAUGCAACGCGAAGAACCUUACCUGGUCUUGACAUCCACGGAAGUUUUCAGAGAUGAGAAUGCGCCUUCGGGAACCGUGAGACAGGUGCUGCAUGGCUGUCGUCAGCUCGUGUUGUGAAAUGUUGGGUUAAGUCCCGCAACGAGCGCAACCCUUAUCCUUUGUUGCCAGCGGUCCGGCCGGGAACUCAAAGGAGACUGCCAGUGAUAAACUGGAGGAAGGUGGGGAUGACGUCAAGUCAUCAUGGCCCUUACGACCAGGGCUACACACGUGCUACAAUGGCGCAUACAAAGAGAAGCGACCUCGCGAGAGCAAGCGGACCUCAUAAAGUGCGUCGUAGUCCGGAUUGGAGUCUGCAACUCGACUCCAUGAAGUCGGAAUCGCUAGUAAUCGUGGAUCAGAAUGCCACGGUGAAUACGUUCCCGGGCCUUGUACACACCGCCCGUCACACCAUGGGAGUGGGUUGCAAAAGAAGUAGGUAGCUUAACCUUCGGGAGGGCGCUUACCACUUUGUGAUUCAUGACUGGGGUGAAGUCGU
RNAcentral lists this ribosomal RNA (1491 nucleotides) under metagenome. RNAcentral describes it as "bacterial SSU rRNA". It matches the Rfam family "Bacterial small subunit ribosomal RNA". The record is from RNAcentral.